GCAAAUGAUAGAUCUUUCUGUUUGUAAUUUCUUCUACUGCUUUGAGGCCUAGGGAAACCUUACCCAGGGAGUAAAAAACUUUUAUUUCUUCAGUUUUCAACAUUUUGUUUCUUAUCCUAAUUAGAAUUCAUUUCCAUCUUGAUAGGUGGUACAAGAUGUGAAGGGGUGGUAUUGGAGGAAAUUAACAGUAGCUGCUCCAACCCUCAGGCCCCCAAAUCUCAAUGCCUUAACACAACAAAGCAUUAACUCUCAGGCAUAUCAAGCCCAGCAAAGGUCUGGUGACACACCUAGAUAAUGACUUAGGGGCACAAGCAGCUGGACCAUCUUAAACUCUUUUACUUCCAGUUGGGGAACUUUUGAUUUUGGUGGAUAGAAGGUAGAAACCUCUGGCAAGGGUACCUAUGGCUGCAUCAGCAUGCUGGAGAAGCAGAAAGAGAAAUGGCAGAAAGGAGAAGAGACAAGAUAAACCAGUUAUUUUGGGACCGUGUCAUCUUUUCUAAUAUACAAUACAGAGGAACUGCUUAAAAAAAUCUUAACGAGCCUUGAGCUGACCUUGGAUGAGGGGAAAGCUGAGGUAGUGGGCCAUGGCCAAAAUGAGCUGGCCUGCCUUACGACUGAAGGCCAAAUCAGAAGCAAAAAGUUUUGAUCUGUGUUAAAAGAAAGAAAUGAUCUCUUAUCUGUGUUCCGAGGCAACCUCACCUUCCUGACAGCCGAACAUUAGAGUACUAGGCCUUUUGAUACAGAAAGACAUUGACUAUUUGGCCCAUGGCAAUCAUAAAACUAGAGGAUCACGCUUUUCGGCCUAAAGAUUCUUGAAUUCCACAGGGGGUGAUUCUCAUUGGUUUGGAUUAGAAAGGAUAAAAAGCCUUUACUGGUGGAGCAGAUUGCAGGAGAAAUGCUUGGGAGAUGCAUUGACCUAAGUCACUCACAUAGUUAGGGAGA
RNAcentral lists this long non-coding RNA (942 nucleotides) under Fukomys damarensis (Damara mole-rat). RNAcentral describes it as "lncRNA (ENSFDAG00000031418.1)". Lineage: Eukaryota; Metazoa; Chordata; Mammalia; Rodentia; Bathyergidae. The record is from RNAcentral.